UACGUAGGGAGCGAGCGUUGUCCGGAAUUACUGGGCGUAAAGGGUGCGUAGGCGGCAUGGCAAGUCAGAUGUGAAAUCCCCGGGCUUAACUCGGGAGUUGCAUUUGAAACUGCUGUGCUUGAGUGCAGGAGAGGAAAGCGGAAUUCCUAGUGUAGCGGUGAAAUGCGUAGAUAUUAGGAGGAACACCAGUGGCGAAGGCGGCUUUCUGGACUGUAACUGACGCUGAGGCACGAAAGCGUGGGGAGCAAACAGGAUUAGAUACCCGGGUA
Molecule: ribosomal RNA, 269 nt
Filed under: uncultured prokaryote
Description: partial 16S ribosomal RNA
Rfam family: Bacterial small subunit ribosomal RNA
Source: RNAcentral